RNAcentral lists this ribosomal RNA (844 nucleotides) under uncultured bacterium. RNAcentral describes it as "bacterial SSU rRNA". It matches the Rfam family "Bacterial small subunit ribosomal RNA", at positions 49 to 885 of the family's 1533-position model. The record is from RNAcentral.
UAACACAUGCAAGUCGAGGGGCAGCGGGAUUGAAGCUUGCUUCAAUUGCCGGCGACCGGCGGACGGGUGAGUAACGCGUAUCCAACCUUCCGUACACUCAGGGAUAGCCUUUCGAAAGAAAGAUUAAUACCUGAUGGUAUGAUGAGAUUGCAUGAUAGCAUCAUUAAAGAUUUAUCGGUGUACGAUGGGGAUGCGUUCCAUUAGGUAGUAGGCGGGGUAACGGCCCACCUAGCCAACGAUGGAUAGGGGUUCUGAGAGGAAGGUCCCCCACAUUGGAACUGAGACACGGUCCAAACUCCUACGGGAGGCAGCAGUGAGGAAUAUUGGUCAAUGGACGAGAGUCUGAACCAGCCAAGUAGCGUGAAGGAUGAAGGUCCUACGGAUUGUAAACUUCUUUUAUAAGGGAAUAAACCCUCCCACGUGUGGGAGCUUGUAUGUACCUUAUGAAUAAGCAUCGGCUAACUCCGUGCCAGCAGCCGCGGUAAUACGGAGGAUGCGAGCGUUAUCCGGAUUUAUUGGGUUUAAAGGGAGCGCAGACGGGUCGUUAAGUCAGCUGUGAAAGUUUGGGGCUCAACCUUAAAAUUGCAGUUGAUACUGGCGUCCUUGAGUGCGGUUGAGGUGUGCGGAAUUCGUGGUGUAGCGGUGAAAUGCUUAGAUAUCACGAAGAACUCCGAUUGCGAAGGCAGCACACUAAUCCGUAACUGACGUUCAUGCUCGAAAGUGUGGGCACCAAACAGGAUUAGAUACCCUGGUAGUCCACACGGUAAACGAUGGAUACUCGCUGUUGGCGAUAUACUGUCAGCGGCUUAGCGAAAGCGUUAAGUAUCCCACCUGGGGAGUACGC